RNAcentral lists this ribosomal RNA (229 nucleotides) under uncultured bacterium. RNAcentral's name for it is "partial 16S ribosomal RNA". It matches the Rfam family "Bacterial small subunit ribosomal RNA", at positions 794 to 1023 of the family's 1533-position model. The record is from RNAcentral.
UCCACGCUGUAAACGAUCAUCACUCGCUGUUGGCGAUACACAGUCAGCGGCCAAGCGAAAGCAUUAAGUGAUGCACCUGGGGAGUACGGUCGCAAGGAUUGAAACUCAAAGGAAUUGACGGGGGCCCGCACAAGCGGUGGAGCAUGUGGUUUAAUUCGAUGAUACGCGAGGAACCUUACCAGGGCUUAAAUGCAGAAUGACAGGAUGGGAAACCAUUUUUUCUCGGACA